This 253-nucleotide ribosomal RNA is filed under the name uncultured bacterium. Its description in RNAcentral is "partial 16S ribosomal RNA". It matches the Rfam family "Bacterial small subunit ribosomal RNA", at positions 524 to 776 of the family's 1533-position model. The record is from RNAcentral.
UACGAGGGGGGCAAGCGUUGUUCGGAAUUAUUGGGCGUAAAGGGCGCGUAGGCGGUGCGGUAAGUCACCUGUGAAAACUCUGGGCUCAACUCAGAGCCUGCAGGCGAAACUGCCGUGCUUGAGUGUGGGAGAGGUGCGUGGAAUUCCCGGUGUAGCGGUGGAAUGCGUAGAUAUCGGGAGGAACACCUGUGGCGAAAGCGGCGCACUGGACCACAACUGACGCUGAGGCGCGAAAGCUAGGGGAGCAAACAGG